Galleria mellonella (greater wax moth) is the source of this 2135-nucleotide long non-coding RNA. RefSeq lists it as uncharacterized. Lineage: Eukaryota; Metazoa; Arthropoda; Insecta; Lepidoptera; Pyralidae. The transcript is spliced from 3 exons. The record is from RefSeq and is a predicted model, not a curated record.
AGUCACAUUUAUAGUUUUCUUAGGCUCUAUUUCCAUUAUACACUGGAUUUUAUAUUUGCAAACGAACUUUUAAUACGUAACCCUGCGUUUGGAAAUCCUAAAUUAUUAAUCCCAUCGCAGGUAUCGAGUUGACAGAUGCUUUUUUACAUUUCUAAAUUUAGACUUUUAUUUCAGUAAUGCAGGACGGUCAACCAAAUAAAUAAUGGGACGUGGAUUUGAUAUUAUCUUGCCUUUGUUUGUAAAACGUAAAACGGCUAUUGUAACCUAUAAAGGACUUUAACACUAAAGCACAGGGGGCAAAUGAGCAUGCGGCUCACCUGAUGGUAAGUGACUACCGCCGCCCAUGCCCAUGCCCAUGAUCACCCACAACACCAGUGGCAUUGCAGGUGUGCUGCCGGCCUUUUAAAAAGGAAUAUACUCUUUUCUUGAAGGUUAUGUUGUCGUAUCGGUUCGGAAAUACUGCUGCUGGAAGUUGAUUCCAAAGAAUGGUUGCUUGUACUUAUUAUCAUGUUUAAAUGGGUGAAUGAAUUUGAAUAAAAUUUAUAACAUAAAUACAUAUCUUAGAUUAAUACAUAAAGUAAUAUAUAUUACCCGUAAAUCAUGUGGCCGAAGUUGCGAAAUACAGCUAGUAAUAUAUGCUGGAUCCUGCGACGACCAGGAGCAAACCGACAAGGUCGAGGCGAGCCAGUCGGUCUAUGUGCGCAAGUUGCCAAGUUCAUUGUUCACAUUGUGCAUACUUAAUAUGCAACGUAGGUAAGGUGGCGAAACAAACGAAUACGUUCCGGCAAAACAGGAGCAUCUGGCGGAAGGAACAACCGAGCGUUUCGUGUCAAGGUGAACAUCGUUCGACGUGGUUUUGGUCGGUAUAAUGCAGAUAUUAUGAUUGUUUAUUUGGAUAAAUCACGUGUUUCAUACAUUUGUCAUUGAUAUAUACGUGAUAUGAAGUAGUAUUUUGCAUAUAUUGAUUUGACUUGAUAUUCACAACGAUAGUCACUCUGUAUUCAUGACUAAAUUAAAGUGUUGAUAUACCACCCCAUUACAUUAUAUUUAUUUAUAUUUUAUAAUAACUUGAAUACAAUUUCCAUUAUUUAUAUUAUAUUAUUAUUCAUAUUGUUAAUAUUUUUACUCAUUUAAUAAUUUAAUUAUAUUUUAAUGUUUGUCAAACACAAGGCAUGCUGUGGUUGCCUAUAAAUGUAAGAACAGUGAGAUCUAAUCUGCCAGUUUAUUGUAUUAAAAUUUAGCUUUAUUGUAGCUGUAUCUUAUGUUGGUAAUCCUAUAAAUAAAUAAAUAUAUAACAUGGUAGUUGAAACUGUAUUAUCAAUUUGCAUUUAGGUAGUAAAUUGUCAACUGUCUGACCAUUAAUAAAUAUGUUAUAAAUAUCAUCAUCAUUUCAGCCAUUAUCCGUCCAUUGCUGGACAUAGGCCUCCCCCAUAGACCGCCAUAAGCUGCCGUGAGACACCUGCAUCCAUUGAUUUUCUGCAAUGCAUUUUAGGUCGUCACUCCAUCUAGUGGGUUUUUUAGUAGGUGAUAAUGUAAUGGUAACCCCACCCGCGUUAUCAAUAUACGCCGGCGGGGCACCAGUGAAGGAUGAUAGGGGAGGAUGAAGCAGGUUAGUUAACUCACCGUGACAAAUUCAACAAGAAUUGUUCACGAUGGUUUCCAAGGGAAACCACGUGGAGGUCGACCUAAUAGGGUAUAUUGCUAGCAAUGGGGGUGUCAAACUCCAUUGCUAACAACCCCUUUCCCCCCUCUAGUGGGGGGUUGUCCUACACUACUACUACUGCGUUUGCCCGUACGGGCAUACAUUAUAAUACAUAUGGUUAUAAAUAUAUGUAUAUACGUCAUUUUUUUUUACAACACAGGGGGCAAACGAGCAUGCGGCUCACCUGAUGGUAAGUGAAUACCGCGGCCCAUGAUUACCCACAACACCAGCGGUAUUGCAGGUGUGCUGCCGGCCUUGAACGAACAUAAUUAUUUAUAACAGUAAACAUUUUUAUUAAUGCUUAAACACUUGGCAAUUUAACCAAACUUUGAACCAAAGUUCUAAUAAACAAUUAAUUUAGUAAUAAAAUUAAAAAAAAAAUUAUUACGAAUUCUUUUUUAUCACAUGAAUAGAGUCUGUUAUUAACAUACUA